This 279-nucleotide ribosomal RNA is filed under the name Entrophospora sp. Its description in RNAcentral is "partial small subunit ribosomal RNA". It matches the Rfam family "Eukaryotic small subunit ribosomal RNA", at positions 591 to 867 of the family's 1831-position model. Lineage: Eukaryota; Fungi; Glomeromycota; Glomeromycetes; Entrophosporales; Entrophosporaceae. The record is from RNAcentral. RNAcentral also lists the same sequence under 1 other name.
CCAAUAGCGUAUAUUAAAGUUGUUGCAGUUAAAAAGCUCGUAGUUGAAUUUCGGGAUUGGCGCAUCGGUCGUGCCUCACGGGGUAUGAACUGGUGCAGUCAAUUUCUCACCUUCUGGAGAACCGCGAUGUCCUUAAUUGGAUGCCGCGGGGAACCAGGACCUUUACUUUGAAAAAAUUAGAGUGUUUAAAGCAGGCAUUUUUGCUUGAAUACAUUAGCAUGGAAUAAUAAAAUAGGACGGCAUGGUUCUAUUUUGUUGGUUUCUAGGACCACCGUAAUG